GAGAGUGUUAUCCAGGGCUCUGAGUAGUGUUGCGUCCCUGCUGAGACUCUGGAGGGUUCAGUGUCUGGACCUGACUGACUUCUGCAUUCAGGGUCACUCUCUCAUCACACUGCUGUGUCACCAGGGACCUCUCUCUCUCAGACUAAACUCAGACACUCUGCAGCAGCUGACUGUAGUUGUGUAUGAAGCUCAGGACAAGGACUUGACUCAGUGGUUCCUAGAGAAGAACAUCUCAGAUCUUCUCCCCUUUCUGGGAAGGGUUACUCUCAAGAGUGUUGACAGGAGGUUACUGCUGAGUUUCCUCCAGUGCUGUGGUGCCUCUCAGAUCCAGCAGGGGGCGCCACCACUACCAACAGCAUUAUGGCUGCUGAGGUCUCUGCACUACAGACUGGACUUCUCCUGCUCCUCCUCU
This is a long non-coding RNA of Oncorhynchus tshawytscha (Chinook salmon), 412 nucleotides long. The record is from Ensembl. Lineage: Eukaryota; Metazoa; Chordata; Actinopteri; Salmoniformes; Salmonidae.